CAGCCGCCACGGUAAUACGAGGGGGGCAAGCGUUGUUCGGAAUUAUUGGGCGUAAAGGGCGCGUAGGCGGUUUGGCAAGUUUGGUGUGAAAUCUUCGGGCUCAACUCGAAGUCUGCAUCGAAAACUGCCGGGCUUGAGUAUGGGAGAGGUGAGUGGAAUUUCCGGUGUAGCGGUGAAAUGCGUAGAUAUCGGAAGGAACACCUGUGGCGAAAGCGGCUCACUGGACCAUUACUGACGCUGGGGCGCGAAAGCUAAGGGAGCAAACAGGAUUAGAUACCCCUGUAGUCCCUGUCUCUUAUAC
RNAcentral lists this ribosomal RNA (301 nucleotides) under uncultured bacterium. Its description in RNAcentral is "partial 16S ribosomal RNA". It matches the Rfam family "Bacterial small subunit ribosomal RNA", at positions 509 to 807 of the family's 1533-position model. The record is from RNAcentral.